GGAAAGGUGGCAGAGCGGUUGAAUGCAUCGGUUUUGAAAACCGACGUAGUUGUGAGACUACCGGGGGUUCGAAUCCCCCCCUUUCCG
RNAcentral lists this transfer RNA (87 nucleotides) under Chlorella sp. ArM0029B. RNAcentral describes it as "tRNA-Ser". It matches the Rfam family "tRNA". From Rfam's summary of the family: Transfer RNA (tRNA) molecules are approximately 80 nucleotides in length. Their secondary structure includes four short double-helical elements and three loops (D, anti-codon, and T loops). The record is from RNAcentral. RNAcentral also lists the same sequence under 2 other names. Lineage: Eukaryota; Viridiplantae; Chlorophyta; Trebouxiophyceae; Chlorellales; Chlorellaceae.